UUUUCCUUUCCUUCACUGAGCCGAGGGUCGAUUGAAAACAGCCUCUCUGCCCUUUCGGNNNNNNNNNNNNNNNNNNNNNNNNNNNNNNNNNNNNNNNNNNNNNNNNNNNNNNNNNNNNNNNNNNNNNNNNNNNNNNNNNNNNNNNCCUUUCGGGUAGGGGUAAGGCUCGUCUACAUAUUACCCUCCCCAGACCCCACUUUGUGGGACUAUACUGGGUAGUUGUUGUUGUUUUUGUUGUUAAUUCUUCUUUCAGUUAUAUGACGAACAAAAGAUGGUGUUAAUGACUGCGGUAGUAACUGAACUUUGUGAUUAACUGUGCUCAGAACUUUUUGUAAGCCUUGUCGUAUUUAUAUAAAUAAUAAUAAAUGAAUAUUAUCUAAUACUAUUAUUUUCGACCUCUUGGCCAAUGGCUUAGUUGAAUAUUAUUGCAAAGGGAGGUGUAGCUUCGAUUCUCCUUAGCCUCAAAUUUUUAACAAAAAUGCUCGCGCAAAGAUGUUUAAAAAAUAGAGUGUCUAGGUCCUGUCUCGAACCUACAACCUUUACAAACCCAAAUAUAAGCUUGGCCAAUGGACCAAGAGGUAUUCUUUGCCAAAAAUCGGUGUCAUUAUUAUAUAAUGCUUCAUUUUUAUAGAAUAGUAGUAUAAACAUUGUAAUAUUUUUUUCCGGGGACACUUCCACCCAUGUGCAUGCGCCCUUGACUGUGCUCUUAAUGGGGUCAAAUUUGCUCUUGUACUAUCCAAAAUUGAGCAACUUCGCAAAAGUUUAAUGGAUGGUCCAAUCUUACCAUGCUACCUGGAAAAGUGUCAUUUUUGCCUUUGUCCCCUAACAGAGCUCUAGCUCCAAUCUGAGGAUAAUUUUAAAAAAUAGGCAAAAAUCGAGGGGUAAAUUUGAAUCUUCUUUCUCGAAGAAUUUGGACACGUAGAGUCCACCCAUCUCAUGGUGGAGUUUGUGUUAAUGGCAAAGGAAAAUACGAGAUAGAUUUGCUAAUGGCAAGGGUACGAAUGCACCAAAAUACGACAAGUGCAUGAAUGCACCAAAAAGUAUAACAGACAAAAAUUGAGCAAUUUCAGAGAGCACAGGGGCAAAUUUAGACCUUUUCUCUUAUUUUUGUAAUUAUUUCCUUUGGCUCAUGAAUUCAACUGCCUCAGAAAUUGAAAGUUUAUGAUUAUUUGGGCCUUCAUGAAUUACAAUAAAAAUGUGUUUAAAUUUUUGUUGUAAUAGCCAAGUUCUUUUUGUAGUGUGCCAUGAUCUGUGUUUUCUAUGGUUUGUAAAAGAAUGUGACAAUGUUAUACUUGCUUUUUUGAAAUCUUUUGGUUUUCUAUUGUUGGCUAUAGAAUCCUUCCACAUGUUGAUGAUCAUUUUAUGAGUAAACUAAUUAGGCAUUGCAUCUUUUCUUGGCCAGUAGUUAAUAUGCAUCAUACAGCAAAGAGCUGCAGUUCUAAGGGCCAGUCAAUCUUGCGGUCUUCUGAUCAAGGUUUAGAGCAGUAUAAACAGCUUCAUAAAACAUAUUGCCCUAGAAUAGUUGGAAUAUAUAUGGAACCUUCAGUUGAGUACAUUGUUGCUGUUCUAUCCGUUUUGAGGUGCGGAGAAGCAUUUCUGCCUUUAGAUCCAUCUUGGCCAAACGAAAGGGUACUAUUGGUAAUAUCUUCUUCAAAAGCUAGUCUUAUUGUCGGCUAUGGAUCUUCUGUUGACAGAACUUGUCAUCAGCUUGACAAAUUACAAUGGCUCAUUGAUAAAGGCAGUUAUCCUGUCUUUUAUAUGUCAAUGGAUGAUUUCAUCCCCAAAAAAUCUGAUUUUUUGUUAGGCUGGCCUUGUGAAAGUGAAAGGUUGAGAUCGUUCUGCUACUUGAUGUACACAUCUGGAUCGACUGGAAAACCUAAGGGUGUAUGUGGCACUGAAGUAGGUGAGUUGUACAUCCUUUUGAUUGUUCAACCAUUUGUCAUCAAUUUAUAUUGCCCCGAUAUAUAAUUUAUGCUUUUAUAGUUUUUGCUUUCCUUUAGGCACUAACUCAAUUUAUUUAAUCAUACGCUUGCAGGUCUUCUGAAUCGCUUUUUGUGGAUGCAAGAAACAUAUCCCUUUCAAAAAGAAGAAAUCCUUUUUUUCAAAACAUCAAUAAGCUUCAUUGACCAUUUGCAAGAAUUUUUAGGAGCUAUACUUGCUAAUUGUACGUUGGUCAUACCUCCUUUCAAUCAGCUGAAGGACAAUAUAUUUUGUGUAGUCAAUCUUUUACAGGUAUAUGCAAAGGCUUAUUUACCCUUGAAUUUCUUGUUAUUUGACAGCGUUUUUAAAAGGGUGUGCAUUAUUUUUUAUGUGGUAGCAGUGUUGUCAAAGGCGCGCUUAAGCCCUGAAGCGAGGCUCAAAACACGUUGAGCGCUUCGCCUCGCUUUCUGGGCGCUUUAGUGUCGCAUCAAAGCUCCAAUGCAUACUUUUCAUUGCUAGUGAGUGUAAUCCUGAAAAUGCGACUAUAUUUGUUAUUCAUGUUUAUAAUGAUUAGCCUUGGACUACAUGCAUAUUUUUACUUUUUUCCCAUUGCGCCUUUUUUCAUUAAAGCCCACGCUUUAUUUGCACUUUGCGCUUAAAGCUCCAAAGGAUCUUAGAGCUUUUUUGCGCUUUUCGCCUUUGAUAACACUGUAUGGUAGACAACAACAUUAAGGGCUUUUGUGUCCAUUAACCAAUUGCUGUUCUCUUACAACUACAAGCAUAAAGCAAGUAUUUUCGCUCAGGCGCUGCUGGUGCGACAAGUCUUGACUCUUGAGAGUAUUGGGUGCUUGUUAAUCAAUUAAAAUUUAUAUCUAGAUUAAUGCUUUGGUGAUCACUUAGCUUUUUCUAACAUUAUUUAGACUUCUAUAGCUAGAAUGAGCGUGAGUUCCUUGAUUAAUUUGUACUCUAGCUGCUAUAUUGGUUGCUGGUAAUUCUGUACUAAGCUAAAAUACUGGUGCACAAACACUAAUCAUUGUCAUAUCUCUCUCUCUCUCUCUCUCUCUCUUGUUUNNNNNNNNNNNNNNNNNNNNNNNNNNNNNNNNNNNNNNNNNNNNNNNNNNNNNNNNNNNNNNNNNNNNNNNNNNNNNNNNNNNNNNNNNNNNNNNNNNNNNNNNNNNNNNNNNNNNNNNNNNNNNNNNNNNNNNNNNNNUUGUUUGGGGGGGGGGGGUUACGUCUCUUAUGUUCUUUGGAAUUUCAGUGUUAUAUAAUAUUAAUGACUGUUAUUGGUGGCAGUAAGUUGCAAGAAGUUCAAGUGGGUAAUGUUUACUUUUUUGAUUAUGAAAUUUUCAAAUACUGCACGAAUAAAGCUCUGGCUAUUCUUUGUAGUUUUCUGGCACUGAUAAUGUCUUUGUACCAAAAUUAUCAAGCUCCCUUUAUUCAAUGGAUUUGUGGUUGGUCAAUAACAUGUUUUGGUCUUGCUCUCUGGAUCGGAAAUUUUCUUUUUUUCUUUUGCAUUUCUGCUGCCUGCCUUGGUUCUUGAACCUCUUCUCUGGCUUGCAUUUAUCCACUGAUUUCUCUUUUGCAAACAAAAACCAUUCUUUCCCCUUGAAUCUUGAUAUAGAGGAAAUUCCAUAUAUUCUUUUGGGAAAAGGUCAAAUUUGCCGCUGCCUUCGAAAUUGAGCAACAUUGAAAAAAGUCUUGUUUUUGCCCUUGACCCGUAAUGUAGCUCCAACCCGAGGUUAAGUUUAAAACUUAGUAAAAAAUUGACAUGUGUUGUCCACCCAUUUCACGCUAAAGCUCCCUUAAUGACAAGGGCAAAUACAAGAUGAUUUGAUAGCGGCAAGGUAUGAAUGGACCAAGGUUUAACAGAGGAUCAAGUGGAGCAAUUUCGCAUUGUAUAGCAUCAAAUUUGGACCUUUUCCCUGUUCUUUAUUCCUUUCCGUACUAUGAUAGCAUAAAAAAUUCAAAAGUUCCAUUAUUUUUUCCAUUAUUUGUCUUCAGGAGUACUCUAUGAGCAGGCUAGUGGCAGUUUCAUCUCUUAUAAUGGCGAUCUUCCUGCUCUGCAGAGCAUAUACUAUUCUAAAGUUCAGAUUUCCUUAAAAUUUUUAGUGCUUAAGUGGUUAAAGUUUUUGAUAUGUCGCUGUGGAAGAUGCUUGUCAAGUUGCUUACUCAGACUUCUGUUAUUCCAUUAUUUUUUCCAUCAUUUAUCUCAGGAAUAUUCUAUUAGCAGGCUCGUGGCAGUUCCAUCUCUUAUAAGGGCGUUUCUUCCAGCUCUGCAGAGCAUAUAUUAUUCUACAAUUCAGGUUUCAUUAAAACUUCUGGUACUAAGUGGUGAAGUUUUUGAUAUAUCGCUGUGGAAGAUGCUUGUCAAGUUGCUGCCCCAGACUUCUAUUCUUAAUAUAUAUGGAAGUACAGAGGUAAAUUUCCGUCUUUGAUUUACUUUUGGGUUAAUCAAGUCCUUGCAAGUUCUAAUACUGAAUCGCUUGGAAGGAAAAAAGCUUCAUGUUCCUUUGUGUGUUACUUUUUGAUCACUUAUGUUCUUGUAAGUUCUAAUGUUUGGACCGCUCGAAAAGAGAAGCUUUGAGUAAUGCUUUCUCAUAUCUAACAGGAUGCCAAUUUCUAUCCUUAUUUUCUUCACCCUUUUAUUUGUGUCACCUUCUCUACUCGAUAUAACCACUUUAGUUUGGAGUUUAAAUUUGGGAAACUUAUGUCAGUUCUUGAGCUUUAGGUUAAAUUCAAUUUCUUAGUACUUGUGACCAUAGUCAGUGCUAUUAGCCUUUAAUCUGUGUGAUCUGAGUUUUAUGUUGGUGCUCUACUUUUUGGUGUACGUCUUGUUUACGGGAGAUUUUCCAUAUUAAAUGAAAUAAUUUUACCUUGUCUUAGUUUUGUCAAAGGCGCGCUUAAGCCCUGAAGCGAGGCUUAGCACAUGUUGAGCACUUCGCCUCGCUUUGUGGGCGCUUUAGUGUCGCAUCAAGUCUCUAAGGCAUACUUUUCCUUGCCAAUGAGCGUAAUCCUGAAAUUGCAACAUUAAACAUUUGAUAUUUCACUUUAUCUUAAUUUUUUUUUUUCAAUUUUAUUGUCCCUAUAUUUGUUAUUCAUGCUUAUAAUUAUUAGUCUUGGACUAUAUAUACAUAUUUUUACUUUUUCUCCAGUUGCGCUUUUUUCAUUAAAGCCCACACUUUAUUUGCGCUUUGCACUUAAAGCCCCAACGGACCGUAGAGGUUUUUUGCGCUUUUCGCCUUUGAUAACACUGCCUUGUCUAAAAGAGUAUUUGUGAUUUGAGCUAAUACUCUCCUUACGUCACCUAUCAUUUUAAUCCAUCACUUUAAUUCACUAUCUUCUCUGUAAUCUUCACUAAUACUUUGGAUGUUUGAAGUAGCUUACGUCACCUAUUAUUUUUAUCCACUAUCUUCUCUGUAGUCUUCACUAAUACUUUGGAUGUUUGAAAUAGGUUUCUGGUGACUGCACAUAUUUUGACUGCAAGUGGUUGCACCCAAUGUUGGAGCAAGAUGCACCGGGUAGUGUUCCAAUAGGCAUUCCCAUUGGAAAUUGUGAUGUGGUUCUUGUUGGGGAAAAUUCUCCCUAUGAGGGUGAGAUAUGUGUCAGUGGAAGUUGUGUUGCUGCUGGAUACUUUUGUCAUCCUUCUAUUUUUCCAUUGGAUAUCGUUCAACUACAUCAAGAGGUAGCUGGCGCUGAGAACGAUAAAAAUGAAGUGAACUGUUACUUUAGAACUGGAGAUUUUGGCAGAGAACUUUCAAAUGGUAACCUGGUGUGUAUCGGGAGAAAAGACCGCACUGUAAAGAUCAGUGGGCAGCGUAUUGCUUUAGAGGAGGUUGAAAUCGUUUUGAGGGAACACCAAGAAGUAGUUGAUGCUGCUGUAGUUUCUCGUUGUGUUCAAGGAGAUAUUUUACUUCUUGAAGCAUAUUUACUGCUCAAACAAAAGGAAAGCAACCUUAAGUUCUUCAGGUCCUCAAUUAGAUGCUGGAUAGCCAGCAAACUUCCCCCGAUAAUGAUUCCUGCUCGUUUCUACUUUGUUGAAUCUUUUCCUAUGUCUUCCUCAGGGAAAGUGGAUUACAAGAACUUGGCCACUUUAGCCGCUUCUGAGGCAGGUAGCUGUAUUGAGAUUGAAGAGACUCAAGAUAUCAAUCUCAUUAAUGUUAUACAGAAGGUAUUUAACUAGACUUCAGCUUUAUUAAAGGUUGUGAUUCUGUUGUAAUAUGGGGUUAGCAAUCUUGAUUUCAAUUUUCAUUCAGUACCAAGUCUGCCCAUGAUUAAAAUGUGAUUUUUUUGGUUAGAUAUAUUAAGAUGUAGAUGUGGAGAAAAAUCACGUGUAGAUUGUUAAGAUCAUAGGAUGCCUAGAUACUAUUUGCUGAUGGCAUAGUCCUGAUAGACGAGACGAGGGUCGGUGUUAACGAGAGGUUGGAGGUCUCGAGACAGACUCUCGAGUCUAGGGGUUUCAAACUAAGCAGAUCCAAGACAAAAUACCUGGAGUGCAAGUUUAGCGCCGAGUCGAGCGAAGUAGGCAGGGACGUGAAGCUUGGAGCUCAGGUCAUCCCCAAGAGGGACAAUUUCAAAUAUCUUGGGUCGGUGAUUCAGGGGGACGGGGAGAUCGACGAGGGUGUCACUCACCGUAUUGUGGCGGGGUGGACGAAAUGGAGGUUUGCAUCAGGAGUCUUGUGUGACAAGAAAGUGCCACUGAAACUCAAAGGGAAGUUUUAUAAAGCUGUGGUUAGACUUGCCAUGUUGUAUGGGUCGGAGUGAUGGCCGGUUAAGAACUCUCAUGUUUAGAGAGUGAAGAUUGCGGAUAUGAGGAUGCUCAGGUGGAUGUACGGGCACACUAGAUUAGAUAAGAUUAAGAAUGAAUUUAUUCGGGACAAAGUGGGGGUGGCCCCUGUGGACGAGAAGAUGCGGGAAGCGAAGCUCAGGUGGUUCAAGCAUGUGCAGAGGAGAAGCCCUGAUGUCCCGGUGAGGAGUUGUGAGCGGCUGACAGUAGUUGGCGCGAAGCGAGGCAGAGGGAGGCCUAAGAGCCUGUUUGGAUGGGCUUAAAAGUUGGUCAAACCAGCUUUUAAGCCCCUUUUAACUGAUGGAGGUGUUUGACAAUAAAAAAUAGCUUAAAAAAAGUUAAAAUCUGCUUAAAAAAAGCCAAAACCAAGAAGUUGGGUGAACCCAACUUUUUUAUAUUGGCUUAAAAGCCAUAUUACUUUGAUUACUUUCUUAUCUAUUAGAGUUUUCGUAAUACCCAAAUUACCCUCAGUACAAAACUUAAAAUUGCUGAUGUCUUCUUCCUCCACAAAUUGCAGCAUCUACUUUCUUCAUUUUACUCUUUUUCUUUCCAUAUUUUUCCAGAUGGUAACGUUUGCUUGCUUUCUAUUUUUUUGUUUUUUACUAAUUUUCUUUGAAAUAUUAAUUAUGGUUUUCGUUUGAUUUCUUCGUACCGAAAUUGGGUUAGUUUUCAUUUGCUUUCUUACACUACUUUUAUUUUUUUUAAUUAAAAGUGAAUUAAAAUAUUAGUUAUUAUGUAUUUAUAUUAUUUAAAUUAAAAUAUUAUAGUUAUAAGUUUCUUUAUAGGUUUAACCGUUUUACGGAUAUUUCAGUAAUUUUAAUAGAAAAAAGCUUACUAAUACUUGUUUACCGAACACUUCAAUAGCUUUUUUUUAGUUCCAGCACUUUUAUCCAAACGUGUAACUGCUUAUUUAUAUAACUAUCUCGAGCACUUAAAAAGUGCUUUCAAUCACUUUACUUAUAAGCUACUUUUUUAAGCCAAUCCAAACGGGCUCUAAGUCUCUGUAGAAAGACAAAGCUUUUGCUGAAAAAGUAACUUCUAAAAGGGGACUAGGUGCCACUCAUAAAAAAUUCUUGUUACCUGCUUGGACUAAAAUAUCACUUAUUCAUCCUCUUGUUAAUAAGUUUCUUUAUAGGUUUAACAACUUUAAGGAUAUUUCAGUAAUUUUAAUAGAAAAGCUUACUAAUAUUUGUUUACCAAACACUUCAAUAGCUUUUUUCCAGCUCCAGCACUUUUAUUCAAACACGUAACUGCUUAUUUAUAAAACCAGCUCCAGCACUUAAAAAGUGCUUUUGAGCACUCUACUUAAAAGCUACUUUUUUUAAGCCAGUCCAAACAGACUCUAAGAAGUAUUAGGGAGAGGUGAUUAGGCAAGACAUGACAAAAAUGCGGAUUUCCGAGGACAUGACCCUUGAUAGGAAAGUCUAGAGGUCAUAGGAUAGGGGCUUCUAGAACUUUUCGUACUUCAUUCCCGGGGCUAGGUGGGGUUUGGUAGUACCCUCCAUAGAUGACUUUCGUAUUGUAUCGUGCCCCCUUAUGGUAGUUACUGGUAGAUAUUAUAACAUGCUUUAUAAUUUUUGGUUUUAUGUUUAGUUGACUAUUUAUGCGAUUUUUGUUGGAGUCACUAAUGCUCUUUUGUUUUUCCUUUUUCUUUUUCCUCUUUCUCUUCUCUUUCUCCAGAGCCGAGGGUCGAUUGGAAAUAGCCUCUCUGCCCUUUCAGGUAGGGGUAAGGCCUGUGUACGUAUUACCCUCCCCAGACCCCACUUUGUGGGACUAUACUGGAUAGUUGUUGUUGAUACUAUAUACUUCUUGUUUAUGGGACUUCACUCCCUUCUUGAGCAACUUAUCAGCUGGUGUACCAGGAUGGAAAGUGUGACACAAAAAUUGAGACAGAGAAUAUAAUGUAGUUUGGCUUAUAUUGGGUGUGGAGAAGCUGAUUGGUGAAACAGCUAUUCAGUUAAUGAAGAUAUUUUCUAUGAAAGGUGGUUAGCUUGGUAAAAAAAUGUACUCAAAAGAAUAAUUGAAACGAUAUUACAGAUCAUUGAAACUUUUAUAUGUUCUGACACUUUUGGAGCAUGACAUUUCAGUUAGUAUAAAUUCUGCUAUUUGUAGAGAAUCACCUUUUGCAUAAGCUUCUCUACCUUUUGCAUACAAACUGUCCUAUGCAGGGGUUUUCUCAACAUUUUAACUGAAUGACAUUUUUUAUUAUUGAUUUAUACCCUUGCAACAAGCUAACUGGGAUAAAAUGUCUUUUCUUGCAAAAGCUAGCUUUCUCUCUUUCAAUAGCAUCAUGUUGGGAUGUGUACCAUGUGUUAUAAAAUUCCGUUUUUAUUUGUGUAAAACAACUUAUUUGUUGAUAUCUGUUAAGAGAAUCCUUUUAUUGUAAUAUGUAAAGGAUUCCAAAUGCCAGACCAUUUAACUGGAAGAAUUAUAGGUUUUAAUUUAUGCCUUCUCUCUCUUUCAGGCAACUUGCAAACACGAUUUAAUUUGCAAUAUCUUGUGGGAGUAAUAAACCAAAUUAAAAAAUUACUUGAAGGAGUAAUCAGGUUCAGUGUUGUCAAAGGCUCAUUUAAGGUGCCUUAUGCCCUGAAGCUCAGAAAAGCUCAUGGAGGGUGCUUCGCCUCGCUUAAGCUGCACUCUAGUAUAGGCACUCAUUGCCAAUGGGCUCUAUCUUGAAUCGAGUGGUCCUAAACAACAAAUACUUAUUGGCAAAUAAGUUUAUAGUUGUUAAGGAAAACAUUAGAAAUGAAUUUGUUAAUUUAUCUUAAAUGGCAUGAGUUUUUAAAUUUUUCCUUAGUUGCAUCCUUUUUUUACUAAAGCCCACACUUUAAUUGCGCUUUGGCUUAAAGCCCCAAUCGUCAUGGAGCUUUUUAGAGCUUUUCGCUUUUGACAACACUGAUUCAGGUUGUGUAAUGACAGAAAACCUGUUCUUUUGUCCAUUUUCUACAAUAUCACGCCGAGAUUGUGUCAAAAAUAUAUACAAGUUGUGCAAAUGGAUUAACCACAUUUAUCUAUCAAGCUGUCCCAACUUUCUAUGUAUCCUUUACCACCAAAAAAAAGAUGAAAUGAAGAAGCUGUCUUUAUAACAUGAUUAUUUUGCUUUCGUGGGGAAAAUGAGCCGUAAAUCCUCUUUUGCUAAUUCGAAGUCUUUCCUGCUAUUUGGUUAAUAAAGUGUGAAGCUGCGGAGAUUUGACAGCUGAUUUAUCUACUUGGAAAAAGGGUGGUAAAGGGAAUUUAUCUCAUCCCAAAAAAGGGGGUGGUAGAGGCGGUUCAUAUAUGCCUCGAGUUGCUUUAGACCCAAACUGGUACACCUCAGUGAACGAGGCAUGACUCCAAAAUGUGCAGCCUUCAAUUUAUUAUUGAAGUAUGCCUUGAAAUCUACUCGUGGAGCAGUGGUGUGCUUUGACGGUGUUGUAACUUAGCUACAAUACAAAUAAUGAAGCUAAUCUAUGAGAAAUGAGGAGUGGUUGUAGACUUUAGGUAGUACUCUUGACUGUUACUCUUGAACAUUACAUGCUUCUUCCUAAAAUUGACCAGUAACUGACUCAUUAUCAUUGUUAAGGUUAGCUGUUGAAUAAUGAAUGUGUGCUGUCAUAUUGUCGCGAGCCUCUUGUUCUCUAGUCAAUAUUAUUUUCCUUCCGGUAUGUGUUUUCUAACACUUCCUUUAACUUUGAUUGGACAGGCUUUUUCUGAUGCUCUGAUGGUUGUUGACAAGAUUUCCCUUGAUGAUAACUUCUUUGAGAUGGGUGGCAAUUCUCUAUCAGCAGCUUAUGUCUCCUAUAAUCUAGGAAUUAAUAUGAAGGACUUGUAUACUUUUCCAACUCCUUUGAAACUUCAGAAGGCCAUUCUACAUAAAAAAGUGUCCUCUAGCCGUGAGCUUAGAGCUGAUGCUUUAGUUGGAGAGAACUCGCAAGUUCAAGAAAAAAGCAAGCUUCCUUCUAAUAAAUCUUGGAUGCCCGAUCUUGAUAGCAGUAUCUCUUUGAGUUUGACAAGUGAUUAUCCCAUUAAACGUUUGAAAACGGAUUCAGAUUUGUAUAUUGAUCCCUACGAUUUUAAUGGAAGAGAUAUGAAUAAUUCAACUAUGACAAAGGUUUCAUGUUCCUACAGCCGGUGCAACAAAGUAAGGCAUGACGCCAGAUGUGAUGGUUACCAUUGCCGAUUCGUUUUAUCUUGGGAAGUUCCACGUGAUAAAAGAGGUUUCAUGCAAGAACGGUGGAUGGUCUACAUGGAGUCUUGUGUUGAUGCAUCACCACUAGUUGUAUUUAAAGAAAGAAGUGCUUAUUUGUUUGUCGGAGCUCACUCCCACAAAUUCUUGUGCAUUGACGCAACAAGGUAAUGCUGAAUGUUUGUCUAAGAUAGAUUGUGAUUUUGAAAAUCAAGAAAACAUAAAAAAAGUGUGUGAAGCACAAAUUUCUUACAUAUGAGUCCUACAUCCACUUGGUUUAGCUGAGGAUGGGAUAUGUUGCCCGAUUGGUGUCCUUACACUAUUAGACGGUUUUGAUCUAGGCUUUGACCCAAAAAAGAACUUCUCUUUGGAUUGGAACGUCUAAAUAUGGACGCAUAGACUAAACUUGAACAAGUCACAUCAGUGCAGGCGCAACGUACGAGUCAUGUGAUUGACCUGACAUUUUAUUGAGAUGAACUUCGAGCUGCUGAACCGCACCGAAACCAUGCUUUACCCCUAGAUGUCCAGUCAAUUGCUGUGCCUCAACGCAUUUCGGGGAGAACCAACUCGAAAGAUGCCUAAAGCUUUUAGCUUUGAUCAUUCGACGCCGAGUGAAACGGUUCCUUGCUAAAUAAAACCAAAGUUCCACUUGGGAUGCAUUGUGAAAAGCUCUCUGCUAUUUCCUAAGUUGCUCGGACACGGCACUUUCAGUGCCGUACCCGUGUCGACACGACACUGACACGGGUAAGGGUAUGGGAUCUACGUCGGAUCCGGUCAAAAUAGAUCGGGUGCGUUGACCAAAAAUUUGGAAAAAUUGAUUUUCCUAAGUAAAGAUUUGAAGAGAUAGGAAACGAAAUACCUUCAAUUUUGCUGCUAUUUAGUAAUUUAUACUAGUUCUUUUGUCUCCUUUGAAGCUUUUUGUCUUCAAUCUUUGAGUUUUAUUGAGGAAGAUGAUGAAGAACAGGGAGAGAAGAAUGACUUCCAUGUGCAUUUUGCAUGUACAUUGGCAUCAUGAGAGUUGGGACAGCUGUCCUCAAUUAUUUAAAGCUGAAAGUAACAUAUUCCUAACUUAUUAACAGCUGCUAUACAGCUGUCUAUCUUUAAUAAAGUAGACAGUGACUAAAGACGCAUUUUACGCGUUUUGGCUACGUGGCUACUCUAGUUUUCACUCCUUUUCUUCGUAGUGGGAAUCUUUACUAUUCUCUUUUGACAGAGAGUAGUGGGAAGUCUAAAUCAACUGUUUUGUUGAUAGUGGCUUCUAAACAGUAUUCACUAUUCACAGAGGUGGUCCUCUCUGUUCUUGAUCUUCAUCUACGAUUGCUUUUGCUUCAUUCUCUGCUAUGGCUUUGUUAUUCCAUGAGUAGAUUCAAUAAAAUCAUAAUUUAGAGAUAUUUUUAUUUUUAUUUUUAAAUUAUUUUUAGCCGGAUCCCCGCACCCCUGUCAGUUUUAGGAUCCGUAUCCCCGAAUCUUAAAAUUUCUAUCUCAAAGGAUCCGACCUCUAGAUCCGCCCCCGUGUCGGACACCCGUUCCCGUUUCAGAGCAACUUAGGCUAUUUCAAUCAUAUUUCUGCAAUAGUUUGGGGAGAGGUGAUUAGGCAUGACAUGGCUAGAGUGCGGGUUUCCGAGGACAUGGCCCUUUAUAGGAAAGCCUGGAGGUCUAGUAUCAGGGUUGUAGAAUAGGGUCUCCUAGAGGAUUUCGUACUCCUUACCCGGGGUUGGGUGAGGCUUGGCAGGGCUAUCCAUAGAUAAUUUGUGUAUUGGAUUGUGUCUNNNNNNNNNNNNNNNNNNNNNNNNNNNNNNNNNNNNNNNNNNNNNNNNNNNNNNNNNNNNNNNNNNNNNNNNNNNNNNNNNNNNNNNNNNNNNNNNNNNNNNNNNNNNNNNNNNNNNNNNNNNNNNNNNNNNNNNNNNNNNNNNNNNNNNNNNNNNNNNNNNNNNNNNNNNNNNNNNNNNNNNNNNNNNNNNNNNNNNNNNNNNNNNNNNNNNNNNNNNNNNNNNNNNNNNNNNNNNNNNNNNNNNNNNNNNNNNNGAUUGGAAACAACCUCUCUGCCCUUUCGGGUAGGGGUAAGGCCCGUCUACAUAUUACCCUCCCCAGACCCCACUUUGUGGGACUAUACUGGGUAGUUCUGUUGUUAAGGUUACAUUUCUGAUGUGGGACACUUCUACGAACUUUUUUAACUACAUAAGUUUAAGUUACGUCGUAGCUAAUCUAACAAGAUAGUACCUUGACGAUUUUCCAUUCCUUCCUGCCGAGCCGCCUCUCUUCUCCAUUUGGUGCUUCCCCCUUCCCUUUAUAUAACAUGCCCAGGCGCCCUUCUUUCCAAUCACCAAGCAAAAAUAAAUACCAAUCAAAGCCGGAGUGGUGACUAUGCACCCAUAGCUUAUCUAACACUCUCAUUCAAGUUAGUGCAUGCAAAUCGUAUGUAAUGAGCUUGUUGUAUUUUCCUUUCGUGCCAAUAUUUGUGACCCUCCUUUUUUGCAAUGUCCCAAAGUAUUUGACACUAUUUUGUAGUUUUGCAUGUUUUAAAGCGUAAGAAUUCAAAUUCAAUUGCUUAAAUUUCUGCAAAUUCAAUUACUCAAAUUUCUGCAUAAUGUGAUGUGUCUGGCGUUGAUGCCAUAUAAAAGAAAUGGACCUUUGAACCUAACUCUACUAAAAAAUCUAGUGAUGAGCUGAGAAUUACCCAAAUACCAUAUAAGGAAGACAAGAAUGCUAGCCUUAACCAAUGUGGGACGCUAACAAAUCUAUAUAAGUUACCAAGUCACAAAAUUUAUGGUUCGAUGUUCAGCUUCUCCACUAAAUCUUACUGUCACAUUUUAGUUCUACUUACUGUAAAGAUACCAAUUUAUGUCAAACAAGAAAGUUGUAUUGGUUGGUAGGCUUUCUGUUAGAAGGAGAUCGUGCCUAAUCUAUAUCUAUAUGCUUAACAUGCCUAGGUUGACUUCCGAUUUACCGAAACAUGAAAUAAAGAUGGUCUGAGUAUGAGAAACCUGAAGGCAAUGCUAGAGCACUUAAAGACUUGUUCUGGUGAUCGGAGAAGCUUGGAUAUCACUUGUGGUAGGAUUCAAGUGUAGGUCGUGCUUUAGGAUGUUUAAAAUUGUAAAAAAUUGAUCAGGAAGUGAGGAUACCGAGAUUUCCUGGUGGCACCCAAACCUUAAGGUCCUUGGUUAGUUUUAUUGUGGUCACAUUAGUCCACAAGUGCAAUGGAUUGUCUUAGCAGAAAGAAUUGAUUCCGAUAGAUCCAAGAGAUUAACCAUCUCUUCUUCAGUUGGCAAAUAGGUGCUACAUGUGUCAGCUCAACUCAGAGUCGGUUAACACUUAACCAUCUGUUACUACACUGUACAGCAGUUGCAGAUCUUUGGACUUGUUCCUUGCAAUAGUUGGAAUCAGUUGGACAGUCCCACAGAACAUUAGGGAUGCAGCAGUUAGCUGGAGCUCGAGCCUCUGGGAAGUUGAUAGAUCCAUCAAGAAGAUCUGGCAAAUGAUCCCAGCAUGUAUUUUCUGGUGUAUCUGGACAUAGAGGAAUCGUAGAUGUUUCGAGUUUUGAUGGCGUUUCAACUUCCAACUGUAACCUGAAGUCCUAAGUUGCUCUAACACGGGUACGGGUGUCCGACACGGGUGCGGAUCUAGAGAUCGGAUCCUUUUGAGAUAGAAAUUUUAAGAUUCGGGGAUACGGAUCCUAGAACAGACACGGGUGCGGGGAUCCGGCUAAAAAUAAUCUAAAAAUAAAAAUAAAAUAUCUCUAAAUUAUGAUUUUAUUGAAUCUACUCAUGGAAUAACAAAGCCAUAGCAGAGAAUGAAGCAAAAGCAAUCGUAGAU
RNAcentral lists this long non-coding RNA (14681 nucleotides) under Nicotiana benthamiana. RNAcentral describes it as "long non-coding RNA (NBEN_LNC024177)". The record is from RNAcentral. Lineage: Eukaryota; Viridiplantae; Streptophyta; Magnoliopsida; Solanales; Solanaceae.